This is a long non-coding RNA of Callithrix jacchus (white-tufted-ear marmoset), 1265 nucleotides long. RefSeq lists it as uncharacterized. Lineage: Eukaryota; Metazoa; Chordata; Mammalia; Primates; Cebidae. The record is from RefSeq and is a predicted model, not a curated record.
AAGCUAGUUUUUCAUCCAUUUGCCAUUGUCUCCGCUGCUCAAGAUAGUUUUGUUUCUAAAUCCUCCUAUGUUGCUGGAAACACAGGGGAAGAAAGGGUAAACAAAUUAAAUGGAUGGAGUCUUUCUCUGUCACCCAAGUUGGAGAGCAGUGGCGUGAUCUCGGCUCACAGCAACCUCCGCCUCCUGGGUUCAAGCAAAUGUCCUGGCUCAGGCUCCCAAGUAGCUGGGACUACAGGUGGAGUCUCACACUUUCACCCAGGCUGGAGGGCAAAGGUGCUAUCUCGGCUCACCACAACUUCCACUUCCCAUGUUCAAGCGAUUGUCCUGCCUCAGCCUGCCCAGUAUGUGGGACUACAGGAGCUUGCAACCACACGCAGCUAAUUUUCAUAUUUUCAGUAGAAAUGGGGUUUCACCAUGUUGGUCAGACUGGUUUCAAACUCCUGACUUCAGGUGAUUCACCUAUGUAGGCCUCUCAAAGUGCUGGGAUUAAAGGUGUUAGCCACCACACUCGGCCUGUCACUGGUAUUUUGAUGGAGAUUGCACUCAAUCAGUAGAUGCAGAGGUGUACUUUGAGUUGUAUGGCCAUUUUAACAAUAUUAUUCUUUGAUCCAUGAACAUAAGAUAUUUGUGCCUUCUUUAGUUUCUCUCUUCAAUGUUUUAUGGUUUUCAUUGCCAAGAUUUUUCACCUCCUUUGUUAAAUUUGUUACUAGGCAUUCUGUUUUUUUUUUUUUUUUUUUUUUUUUUUUUUUUGGAGCUAUGGUAAGUAAGUGAAAUUGCUUUCCUGCUUUCUUUUUCAGACAAUUCACCAUUGGUGUAUAGAAAUGUCACUGAUUUCUGUAUGUUGAUUUUGUAUCUUGAAAUUUACUGAACUUGUUUAUUGUCUGUAAUGGUUUUUUUGGUGAAGUCAUUGGGGUUUUCUCCAUAAAAUAUCAUGUCAUCUGUAACAGAGACAAUGUGCUUCAAUUAAUUUUAAAAUUUUAAUGUGACAUUAAAUUUUGGCACUAUUUUGUGUAAAAAUGGCAUGUAUAAAUUGAACCAAUGACUUUUUUUACUUCUGGUCUCAGACUUCACCUCUUAAUAGUCACUUUCUUUGGGUAUUAAGAAGAAACAAAUUUGAUAGUUAGUUUCUAAUAUCCCAAUAGAAACACAUAAAAAUCUGACUUUGAAAUAGUUUAAAAGCAGAGUUUUGAACCAAAGCUCAUGUGAUGAGAAGAUGAUGCAAGAAUGAUAAUGGCAAUGAUGCUUAAAGCCCCUGUGUGCCAGUG